CCUGCCCCUAAGGACGUUACAGUUACAUGUGACUGCUGUGUCACAUGCGUGUCAUUAGGUGGCAGAGAGGAGAGGCUUGUCUAUGCCCAGUGCUCUGGCCUGUGAGACACUGGGUGAUUGACAGUCUGACACU
Erinaceus europaeus (western European hedgehog) is the source of this 133-nucleotide non-coding RNA. Lineage: Eukaryota; Metazoa; Chordata; Mammalia; Eulipotyphla; Erinaceidae. The record is from Rfam.